CCACCUCCUCUCUCUCUCUCUAUCCGAAUUCAGAGAGAACGACAGGAACAUCAAAGCGAGUCAGGCCUUCGUCAGUAUACUUUUAACCCUUUUUUUCUGUGCUCCAGCGUCUGCGGCGACCAAGAGUUCGAAGUGGAAAGGAGAGGUAAAGAGGACGAGAGAGGAAGGCUGCACAUCAGAGAGGGGAAAGCGAAGAGGCGGUGGUGGCAGUUCCAGCAUGUGCGGCCGCCAGGUCUCUAACCCCAAUAGUCUCGGCGUCUCUGUUAGUGUGAAGUGUACCAGUAGUGCUCCUCUACCAGGCUGACACCGCGAACCCAAAAUGACAGAAUCGAGGCUUGUUGUAAGGACCCUGAGUUGGAGGCACGGAGUUUAUAGAGACCGCGAGAAUCCUUGGUGGGAAGUGAACAAAGUCAGCACGACUCAGGAGAUACUCGAUCCGUCCUCCCUGCGCACGAAGGCGUGGGUGUGGAACG
Molecule: long non-coding RNA, 473 nt
Organism: Eriocheir sinensis (Chinese mitten crab)
Lineage: Eukaryota; Metazoa; Arthropoda; Malacostraca; Decapoda; Varunidae
Exons: 4
Source: RefSeq, a predicted model, not a curated record